Molecule: ribosomal RNA, 116 nt
Filed under: Eutrema salsugineum
Lineage: Eukaryota; Viridiplantae; Streptophyta; Magnoliopsida; Brassicales; Brassicaceae
Source: RNAcentral
AAUUAUGAAAAUAUCACUAAUGCACCGGAUCCCAUCAGAACUCCGCAGUUAAGCGUUCUUGGGCGAGAGUAGUACUAGGAUGGGUGACCUCCCGGGAAGUCCUCAUGUUGCACUCC